UCCACGCCCUAAACGAUGAACACUAGUCGUCGGGAUGCUAGUCAUCUCGGUGAUGCACUUAACAGAUUAAGUGUUCCGCCUGGGGAGUACGGUCGCAAGAUUAAAACUCAAAGGAAUAGACGGGGACCCGCACAAGUGGUGGAGCAUGUGGUUUAAUUCGAAAAUACGCGAAGAACCUUACCUAGCCUUGACAUUGAAGAAACAGUGUAUCUCUACUCUGUUUCUUCAAUGUC
This 233-nucleotide ribosomal RNA is filed under the name uncultured bacterium. Its description in RNAcentral is "partial 16S ribosomal RNA". It matches the Rfam family "Bacterial small subunit ribosomal RNA", at positions 794 to 1028 of the family's 1533-position model. The record is from RNAcentral.